AGACCCUUCUCCAGCCACUUCAGGUUUCAUGGGAUUAUGCUCAGCUGGCUCGUCUAGACACUUUGCAGUCAUCAGGGGCAACUCCUCUGGUGGUCUAGAGUGCAACAAGGCACAGUCCUGAGGUCUAAGAAGAGGUCGAGAUCACAGCCAUGAACAUCAAAGCUAUUUACAGAAGAGCCAAAAGGAUGGACCACACAGCCUAGGACCCAUGAAGGAGGAGAGAACCAACUCCUGAAAGUUACUCUCGCCUCCAUAAGCAUGUGUUAUCACUUGUAUGCACAUAUAAUAAAAAGGGGGAAAAAGA
Mastomys coucha (southern multimammate mouse) is the source of this 304-nucleotide long non-coding RNA. RefSeq lists it as uncharacterized. The transcript has 3 exons. Lineage: Eukaryota; Metazoa; Chordata; Mammalia; Rodentia; Muridae. The record is from RefSeq and is a predicted model, not a curated record.